UCCCUGUGUCUCAUGUGCUGCAGGGGGACCUCAAGCACCACAAAUACUCCCAAUUACACUACAAUUCACCGUGAGGCUUUUGAUACAGCUGCAGGAUCAGACGUCACGCGCUGCCACCUGACACUCCCACCUACAAACUCUUUCUACCUCUGUAACUACACUAACAGUUGUGUCUGAGACUCUGACUUUGAUAACAUGGACAUGAUGAAACAUGGUCGCCUCAGCUUUUUGAUAUUUCUGCUUUGGAUUAAAGGUCUCAUUGAUGGGAGUGAUGUCACACAAACAUCCAUACUAUGGACAAAGGAGGGUGAAAAUGCAACAAUACACUGCAACCACACCAAGAAUUUCGACUACAACCAGAUGUACUGGUACAAACAGCUGCCUGGAGAAAACAUGAAACUAAUUGUGUUCACAACAACAGCUAACAAAGAUCACGACUUUGGAAAUGAGAGAAAAGAGAAAUUCUCAGCCACCAAGGCUGACCCUUACAGUGGGACGUUCACAGUGAAGAAUCUGGGGCCAGAAGAUAAAGGCUUGUAUUUCUGUGCUGUUUAACUGAUGGCAGCGAUGUCACCCAGACUCCUCUGCUGUGGGUGGACGAGGGUAAAUCCGC
This is a non-coding RNA of Toxotes jaculatrix (banded archerfish), 613 nucleotides long. The record is from the annotation of a RefSeq genome assembly. NCBI's taxonomy places the organism in Eukaryota, Metazoa, Chordata, Actinopteri, Toxotidae.